Molecule: ribosomal RNA, 807 nt
Filed under: uncultured bacterium
Lineage: Bacteria
Description: bacterial SSU rRNA
Rfam family: Bacterial small subunit ribosomal RNA
Source: RNAcentral
ACGGCUCAGUAACACGUGGGUAACCUGCCUUACACAGGGGGAUAGCCUUUCGAAAGGAAGAUUAAUACCGCAUAAGAAGUAGAUAUCACAUGGUAUCAGCUUUAAAGGAGUAAUCCGGUGUAAGAUGGACCCGCGGCGCAUUAGCUAGUUGGUGAGGUAAUGGCUCACCAAGGCGACGAUGCGUAGCCGACCUGAGAGGGUGAUCGGCCACAUUGGAACUGAGAGACGGUCCAGACUCCUACGGGAGGCAGCAGUGGGGAAUAUUGCACAAUGGAGGAAACUCUGAUGCAGCAACGCCGCGUGAGUGACGAAGGCCUUCGGGUUGUAAAGCUCUGUCAUCUGGGACGAUAAUGACGGUACCAGAGGAGGAAGCCACGGCUAACUACGUGCCAGCAGCCGCGGUAAUACGUAGGUGGCGAGCGUUGUCCGGAAUUACUGGGCGUAAAGGAUGCGUAGGUGGGAAUUUAAGUCAGAUGUGAAAUACCCGAGCUUAACUUGGGCACUGCAUUUGAAACUGAAUUUCUUGAGUGCAGGAGAGGAAAGCGGAAUUCCUAGUGUAGCGGUGAAAUGCGUAGAGAUUAGGAAGAACACCAGUGGCGAAGGCGGCUUUCUGGACUGUAACUGACACUGAGGCAUGAAAGCGUGGGGAGCAAACAGGAUUAGAUACCCUGGUAGUCCACGCUGUAAACGAUGGGUACUAGGUGUGGGAGGUAUCGACUCCUUCCGUGCCGCAGUUAACACAAUAAGUACCCCGCCUGGGGAGUACGAUCGCAAGAUUAAAACUCAAAGGAAUUGGCGGGGGAGCAC